RNAcentral lists this ribosomal RNA (505 nucleotides) under Fusarium oxysporum. RNAcentral's name for it is "eukaryotic LSU rRNA". The stretch from base 160 to 313 matches the Rfam family "5.8S ribosomal RNA". The record is from RNAcentral. Lineage: Eukaryota; Fungi; Ascomycota; Sordariomycetes; Hypocreales; Nectriaceae. RNAcentral also lists the same sequence under 5 other names.
AGGGAUCAUUACCGAGUUUACAACUCCCAAACCCCUGUGAACAUACCACUUGUUGCCUCGGCGGAUCAGCCCGCUCCCGGUAAAACGGGACGGCCCGCCAGAGGACCCCUAAACUCUGUUUCUAUAUGUAACUUCUGAGUAAAACCAUAAAUAAAUCAAAACUUUCAACAACGGAUCUCUUGGUUCUGGCAUCGAUGAAGAACGCAGCAAAAUGCGAUAAGUAAUGUGAAUUGCAGAAUUCAGUGAAUCAUCGAAUCUUUGAACGCACAUUGCGCCCGCCAGUAUUCUGGCGGGCAUGCCUGUUCGAGCGUCAUUUCAACCCUCAAGCACAGCUUGGUGUUGGGACUCGCGUUAAUUCGCGUUCCUCAAAUUGAUUGGCGGUCACGUCGAGCUUCCAUAGCGUAGUAGUAAAACCCUCGUUACUGGUAAUCGUCGCGGCCACGCCGUUAAACCCCAACUUCUGAAUGUUGACCUCGGAUCAGGUAGGAAUACCCGCUGAACUUAA